GACGAACGCUGGCGGUGUGCUUAACACAUGCAAGUCGAACGGAAAGGCCCUGCUUUUGUGGGGUGCUCGAGUGGCGAACGGGUGAGUAACACGUGAGUAACCUGCCCUUGACUUUGGGAUAACUUCAGGAAACUGGGGCUAAUACCGGAUAGGAGCUCCUGCUGCAUGGUGGGGGUUGGAAAGUUUCGGCGGUUGGGGAUGGACUCGCGGCUUAUCAGCUUGUUGGUGGGGUAGUGGCUUACCAAGGCUUUGACGGGUAGCCGGCCUGAGAGGGUGACCGGCCACAUUGGGACUGAGAUACGGCCCAGACUCCUACGGGAGGCAGCAGUGGGGAAUAUUGCACAAUGGGCGGAAGCCUGAUGCAGCAACGCCGCGUGCGGGAUGACGGCCUUCGGGUUGUAAACCGCUUUCGCCUGUGGCGAAGCGUGAGUGACGGUAAUGGGUAAAGAAGCACCGGCUAACUACGUG
Molecule: ribosomal RNA, 468 nt
Filed under: uncultured bacterium
Lineage: Bacteria
Description: partial 16S ribosomal RNA
Rfam family: Bacterial small subunit ribosomal RNA
Source: RNAcentral